UGGGGAAUAUUGCACAAUGGGGGGAAACCCUGAUGCAGCGACGCCGCGUGAGUGAAGAAGUAUUUCGGUAUGUAAAGCUCUAUCAGCAGGGACGAAAAUGACGGUACCUGACUAAGAAGCCCCGGCUAACUACGUGCCAGCAGCCGCGGUAAUACGUAGGGGGCAAGCGUUAUCCGGAUUUACUGGGUGUAAAGGGAGCGUAGACGGUCUGGCAAGUCUGAUGUGAAAAACCCAGGGCUCAACCUUGGGAUUGCAUUGGAAACUGUCAGACUAGAGUGCAGGAGAGGUAAGUGGAAUUCCUAGUGUAGCGGUGAAAUGCGUAGAUAUUAGGAGGAACACCAGUGGCGAAGGCGGCUUACUGGACUGUAACUGACGUUGAGGCUCGAAAGUGUGGGGAGCAAACAGGAUUAGAUACCCUGGUAGU
This 424-nucleotide ribosomal RNA is filed under the name uncultured Lachnospiraceae bacterium. RNAcentral describes it as "bacterial SSU rRNA". It matches the Rfam family "Bacterial small subunit ribosomal RNA", at positions 355 to 794 of the family's 1533-position model. Lineage: Bacteria; Bacillati; Bacillota; Clostridia; Lachnospirales; Lachnospiraceae. The record is from RNAcentral.